This is a long non-coding RNA of Thamnophis elegans (Western terrestrial garter snake), 997 nucleotides long. RefSeq lists it as uncharacterized. The record is from RefSeq and is a predicted model, not a curated record. The transcript is spliced from 3 exons. NCBI's taxonomy places the organism in Eukaryota, Metazoa, Chordata, Lepidosauria, Squamata, Natricidae.
CUGUUUCUGGCGGCGGAAGGCGAGGAGGGAGGCAAGACCUACCGUAACGGGACGGGCGUGCUCCCCAAAUGCCGCUCCUCUCAGUAAGCGCUUCGGACUAAGUAAACCUCAACUGCAUCAACACCAGCCCAGACUUCGAACUUCCCCCAUCUGUAAGAAUCUGUUUAUUUCUUCUUUCUCAACCUGAUCCUUUCCAGAUAGCUCAGUCUUUAUGGCUGGGAAUUCUGGGAAUGAAAAUACCCAUCUAUCAGGAUGACAUCAAAUGAAGACAAUGCAGAAAGGCCGUUUGUUUUCCAGGGAAAGUAGGGAUCAGUUUCUCUCCUGGAUUACUCAGUGGUACGGUAAAUGUGAGUAGGUAGAGCACCAAUGCCCAGUCCUUGCUCCACAGAAUAUAAAAAGUUGAAAAAGAUGACCUUCUUUGGUUUAUUGCAUCUCUAAGUAGCAUCGUAGGGAGAAUAUGGUUGAUUUAACUCAAUCCCCACCUUUGUGCUGUUCAAAGAAAAAUAAGGAAUCAGAUGAAAACAUUGCUGUUCCUCUGGUGAUCAAUCCUUAGAUCAUAUGCAGAAAUGCAAGGUGUAUUGGUUAAGUUGUUGCUGGGACUGACAUGAGAAACACCUGGCUUCAAGUCUACUCCUAACCAUAGAAGCUCAGCCCAAAUCUCACAAAGUUAUUAUGGCUAAAAAUGGGAGGAGAGAAUGCUGCAUCUGUCUCAUUGAGUUUCUGAAUGAAAGGUGAGAUAUAAAUCUAACAAAAUAAUCUUACAAGCAAGUGCUGCACCAUUAACUUUAUAUGUCUCUCCCUAUAAUCAAAAUCUGUAGCACCAUCUUCAAUGAAAAACUGAUGAUACAGUAUUACCCUUCCAAAAAAAAACCCCCACCUGAUAUAUAACAUGUGGCUCAAUACUUAUGCUAUACUGUAUUCUCAAAUCUGAAACUAUGUUUUCCCCAAUUUUGGGUGCUCUCAGGAUAAGUUAUACAUUUAACACACAACCUAGUUG